Molecule: ribosomal RNA, 783 nt
Filed under: Triticum aestivum (bread wheat)
Lineage: Eukaryota; Viridiplantae; Streptophyta; Magnoliopsida; Poales; Poaceae
Description: partial small subunit ribosomal RNA
Source: RNAcentral
AUGCUGGAGAAAGACGGCAAGGCCCAAAUAACUGCAUUCGAUGAGGUAGACCAUGUCUUUUCCGGGACAAAAAAAUAUAGGGGCUACAGAAAAUUCAUUGAGAAGCCGAAGCUGAAAUCAUUGUCGCAGGCCAACAAUGGCUACUUGAUUAUACGCUGUGUCCUCACAGUGGUAAAAGAAUCUCGCACGGAAGUUAAGAGGAACACUGCAGUCGUUCCGCAAUCGAAUCUGCAAGACCAGCUCUGCCAAAUGUGGAAGGAUGGCCAGGGAGCGGAUGUGACAUUCAGUGUGGGUGGCCAAUUCUUCGAAGCUCACAGAUGCUUAUUGGCUGCAUGGUUUCUGGUUUUCAAGGCGGAGCUCUUUGGUCCCAUGAAGGAGAAGGAAACACAGUGCAUCAAAAUCGACGACAUCGACCCUGAAAUCUUUGAGGCUCUUCUUCACUUCAUAUACACAGAUUCCAUGCUAGUCGAUGAGCACUACAAAGAAAGCAAACCUGCAAAACUGCAUCAUCUGCAAGUUGCCUCGGAUCGAUAUGGAUUGGAUAGGCUAAAGGUGAUGUGUGAAAGUAAAUUGUCUGAGUGCAUUGACGUAGAGACUGUUGCAACAACAUUAGUUUUAGCAGAGCAACACCAUUGCAAGGAUCUCAAAGAAGCUUGCAUUGAGUUUAUGGCUCCACGUAAUGUUCUGCAAGCUGCCAUGGCAACUGAUGGUUUCAAGCAUUUGGUAGCAAGCUGUCCUUUGGUCAUGAAGGAGUUAUUAGACAUGGUGUCCCGUAGUGGCUAG